CUUAGCCUGGGCCAGGACUGAGUCACCACCCAGUUUGGGAUCCCAGUGAUGUCAAUGGCUGUCCCUCCUGAGCAGUGCUUUCAAACGUUGCUUGUUGACCCCUCUAGCAGGUCUCACAGGGACAAAGCACCUAGGUAGGAUCACCUAGAAAUAGUCCUAUCUUCUGGGAAGGGCAGAGGCUCACCCAGGGGCCUCCAGCCCAGCCCUAGACUGCAGAACAUUUCCAUUCAGCACCAUCAGUGAGGAGACCAGGUUCUGAGAGGCUCAGCCAUGUGGCUAAGUGACACAGCUGGCGAGUGGCUGAUCAGGAUUCGAAGCAGAUCUGCCCACUUUCUAAGACUGUGGGAAUCCCUCCCUGCCUUGCUGAUUCCAAAGAAAAUGUCUGUUAUUCGUCGUCUCACUUUCCAAAGACCAGGACAGAAGGCAUUUUACUAAAAUGUUUAUAUGUGGCUCAUCCAUUCAUCAAGAACCUACUGUGCACUAUUCUAAAUGUUGAGGAUUCAGCAGUGAACACAUCAAGUUUAAAGCAUGGAGGAGGAGGAUUCCAAGCAGGGGAACAGCUUGUGCUAAGGCCCUGAGGCAGGCGUACACCUGUCCUGUUCCAAGAACAGCAAGGAAGCCAGUGAGCAGUGAAUGAGGAGCAUUGGGCUUCUCAACAGAAAUGCCAGCAUCUAAAAUUCUGAGGGAAGUCAUUUCCAGCCUGAAUUUUACACGCAGGCAAUUUUACACCCAGCGAGAUACAGUCUAGCUCUUCAGAAUGUAUUUCCCGGAAGUGGUCCAGAGGAGAAGGUAAAUUUUAGGGUUAGGAAAAAGGAGGCCACUAAGACAUAAACCUUUUAGAAGUUAAAGAUAUCUGCAGUGAACUUGAAGGGACACAGUCUCAGUAAAGAGCGACAGGGAAUGACAGGCUGGGGGAGGCUGUUACGCAGUUUCCCGUCUCCUCGUGGGAAGCUGGUUGCACUGUGUGUUCCUAGGGUUAUCUUCCUGCACUGCUCCUUGGUUGUGAGAAUGGUGAAAUGGAUGGAACACUCGCUGUGUUUGCACAUACUGGAAACCCUUUAUGACAAAGGGUUUAGGGAUGCAGCAGUGAUAAACACCCAGAAACCAAAGUAAAUUAUGUUUAAAAGAGCCAAAAGUAAAAAGUUAUAGGAGAAAGGAAAUGGAAUCAUUGUGUUAUAUGGCUUAGUUGAGAUCAGUGUCUAAAUAGUCAUAAUAAUAUAGAUACUAAGUAUCAAUCUAACCUCAAAGAGUAACAUAACCAUGUUUGGAGGAAGGAGAAUUGUGUAUAUAGUGUUUGUGUGCGUGAUGGGAGUGCUGAAGAAAUACAUCUAUUAGCCAAUGCCUAAAACUGAAAAUAGGAGGAAAGCGGUGUUGGAGGUAUGCUUUCCAUGGGCAGGAAAACACCAAAAAUACCAACUGAAUUGGAACUGCUCACUUAUUGGGAGUUGGAAAGGAGGAGUUGUGGGGAACUGCAUGUUUUUGUUAAAAAAAAACAAAAAAGCUCUAGAAAUAUUUGGCUUC
Odocoileus virginianus texanus is the source of this 1521-nucleotide non-coding RNA. Lineage: Eukaryota; Metazoa; Chordata; Mammalia; Artiodactyla; Cervidae. The record is from RefSeq and is a predicted model, not a curated record.